AAAAUUGGCUUUGUUUUCAAAACGGGGGUGGGCCCAACCCCCCAAGGGAGGAAAAGAACCAACAGGGAUUGCACUUAGUAACGGCGAGUGAAGCGGCAAUAGCUCAAAUUUGAAAUCUGGCCUUGCGCCGUGAGUUGUAAUUUGCAGAGGAAGUUUCUGGUAAGGUGCCCCCUGAGUCCACUGGAAUGUGGCGCCAUGGAGGGUGAGAGCCCCGUAUAGUUGGACACCGAGCCUAUGUGAAGCUCCUUCGACGAGUCGAGUAGUUUGGGGAUGCUGCUCUAAACGGGAGGUAAAUUCCUUCCAAAGCUAAAUACAGGCCCGAGACCGAUAGCGCACAAGUAGAGUGAUCGAAAGAUGAAAAGCACUUUGAAAAGAGAGUCAAACAGCACGUGAAAAUUGUUGAAAGGGAAGGAUUUGUGACCAGACUUGUGCCGCGCUGAUCUCCCGGUGUUUUCACCGGUGUACUCGGCGCGGUUCAGGCCAGCAUCGGUCUUAGGCGGGGGAUAAAGGCGGUGGGAAUGUGGCUCCUCCUGGGAGUGUUAUAGCCCGUCGCAGAAUACCCACGCUGGGGACCGAGGCCUGCGUUCGCACGGAUGCUGGCGUAAUGUUACUAAUCAC
RNAcentral lists this ribosomal RNA (618 nucleotides) under Telimena sp. RNAcentral's name for it is "eukaryotic LSU rRNA". It matches the Rfam family "Eukaryotic large subunit ribosomal RNA", at positions 1 to 648 of the family's 3401-position model. RNAcentral also lists the same sequence under 1 other name. The record is from RNAcentral. Lineage: Eukaryota; Fungi; Ascomycota; Sordariomycetes; Phyllachorales; Telimenaceae.